UGGGGAAUCUUGCACAAUGGGGGAAACCCUGAUGCAGCGACGCCGCGUGAGCGAUGAAGCCCUUCGGGGUGUAAAGCUCUUUCGGCAGGGAAGAUGAUGACGGUACCUGCAGAAGCAGCUGCGGCUAACUACGUGCCAGCAGCCGCGGUAAUACGUAGGCAGCAAGCGUUGUUCGGAGUUACUGGGCGUAAAGGGUGUGUAGGCGGUUGCUUAAGUUUGGUGUGAAAUCUCCCGGCUCGACUGGGAGGGUGCGCCGAAUACUGAGUGACUAGAGUGCGGGAGAGGAAAGUGGAAUUCCUGGUGUAGCGGUGAAAUGCGUAGAUAUCAGGAGGAACACCGGUGGUGUAGACGGCUUUCUGGACCGUAACUGACGCUGAAACACGAAAGCGUGGGUAGCAAACAGGAUUAGAUACCCUGGUAGUCCACGCCCUAAACGGUGCAUAUUUGGUGUGGGUCAUUCAGUUGAUCCGUGCCGGAGCUAACGCGUUAAAUAG
This 494-nucleotide ribosomal RNA is filed under the name uncultured Acidobacteriota bacterium. RNAcentral's name for it is "bacterial SSU rRNA". It matches the Rfam family "Bacterial small subunit ribosomal RNA", at positions 355 to 867 of the family's 1533-position model. Lineage: Bacteria; Pseudomonadati; Acidobacteriota. The record is from RNAcentral.